AUUUUGGACAAUGGGGGCAACCCUGAUCCAGCCAUGCCGCGUGCGGGAAGAAGGCCUUCGGGUUGUAAACCGCUUUUAGCCGGGAAGAAAAGGCCAGCCUUAAUAGGGUUGGUUCUUGACGGUACCGGCGGAAUAAGCACCGGCUAACUACGUGCCAGCCGCCGCGGUAAUACGUAGGGUGCGAGCGUUAAUCGGAAUUACUGGGCGUAAAGCGUGCGCAGGCGGUUCGUUAAGUUCGAUGUGAAAGCCCCGGGCUCAACCUGGGAACUGCAUUGGAAACUGGCGAGCUUGAAUGCGGCAGAGGGGGGUGGAAUUCCGCGUGUAGCAGUGAAAUGCGUAGAGAUGCGGAGGAACACCGAUGGCGAAGGCAGCCCCCUGGGCCGACAUUGACGCUCAGGCACGAAAGCGUGGGGAGCAAACAGG
Molecule: ribosomal RNA, 423 nt
Filed under: uncultured bacterium
Lineage: Bacteria
Description: bacterial SSU rRNA
Rfam family: Bacterial small subunit ribosomal RNA
Source: RNAcentral